UGACUCCGAAUGCAUCUAGAUUAUUAGUUUGAUCAUGGCUCAGUGACGAACGCUGGCGGCGUGCCUAAUACAUGCAAGUCGAGCGAACAGAAAAGGAGCUUGCUCCUUUGACGUUAGCGGCGGACGGGUGAGUAACACGUGGGCAACGCUACCUUAUAGUUUGGGAUAACUCCGGGAAACCGGGGCUAAUACCGAAUAAUCUAUUUUACUUCAUGGUGAAAUACUGAAAAAAAAAGGGGAAAACCCCGGGGGGGGGGGUUUUUUUUUUUUAUUUUUCCCCCCCNGGGGCGCNGGGGGNUUCCCCCCUUUUUUUGGGGCGGUUUUUUUCCCCCCU
This 334-nucleotide ribosomal RNA is filed under the name uncultured bacterium. RNAcentral's name for it is "partial 16S ribosomal RNA". It matches the Rfam family "Bacterial small subunit ribosomal RNA", at positions 1 to 221 of the family's 1533-position model. The record is from RNAcentral.